GGACCGUUGCGCCGAGAUGGUCGAAGGCACCCAGCUCAUAACUGGGAAAAUCACCGGGGGUUCGACUCCCUCACGGUCCA
RNAcentral lists this transfer RNA (80 nucleotides) under Bacillus phage G. Its description in RNAcentral is "tRNA-Met". It matches the Rfam family "tRNA". Rfam says of the family: Transfer RNA (tRNA) molecules are approximately 80 nucleotides in length. Their secondary structure includes four short double-helical elements and three loops (D, anti-codon, and T loops). The record is from RNAcentral. Lineage: Duplodnaviria; Heunggongvirae; Uroviricota; Caudoviricetes.